This 2598-nucleotide long non-coding RNA is filed under the name Phoenix dactylifera (date palm). RNAcentral's name for it is "long non-coding RNA (PDAC_LNC007726)". The record is from RNAcentral. Lineage: Eukaryota; Viridiplantae; Streptophyta; Magnoliopsida; Arecales; Arecaceae.
GUAAUACCCCAGAAAAGGAAAAAAAAAAGAGGGGUGGACGGGCCGGCCCGAAAAGACCGGGCCCAUCCACCAUAUACGAUCGUGCCCUAGGCACGAUCGUGGGAGAAGAAACACACACACGCACAAAAAAAAAGGGGGCAGCGGCGACAUUAGAGGGGAUCGCCGGAGAGACGAGCGCCGGAGGGAGGAACCGGCCGGCCGCGGAGGAAGCCGGAAGCUUUUCCCUCCCUCGGUGAAGAUCCCCCACAAAUCGGGAGAAGAAGUCUCGGAUCCAUGCGUGAAAACCCAAGACCCUUCUCCGAUUUCUCGCCGGAAGGAUCGCCGGAACGCCCCGCCGGACCGAGGUAAUCCUUCCUUUGUGUUUUAUUUUCUGGAUUUUGGGUGGCAUGGGUAAAGUGUUGGCCGGUGAAUCAUCGGAGAAGAGCCCGAAACAGGGUACCCCUGUUUCGGCCUCUUCUUUCCAAUUUUUGGCCGCCGCCGGCCGCCGGGAUGGCCGAGAUGCAUGGCGGUGGGGCUGGUCGGGUUCGUAUGAAGGUCGGAGAGGGUUUUCUAGGCUGUGUAUGUGAUGAGGGAGGGUGGAUCCGAGGUCCUCUUCCUCGGGAUCCCAACCUCUCCUCCUCUUCCCCUCGUCGGAUGGCCACCGGCGGCGACGGCGGCGGCGGUCGUGGGCCACCAUGGCUGCUGUCGGGUGGGGGGGGCAGCCGAGCCACCAUCACGGUGGCUGUGAGGAUGCUUGCCUUCUGUCAAUAAUGCAGGAAAGGGGGAGAGGACCCUUUCGGUUUUAAGGGAAGGAGAAGAAGAGGGAUCUUCUCUCCUCUCUUUCUUUCGCCGGCCACCAUCGCCGGCGACUGCAGCAGAGGCGGCCGACGAUGGUUCGGCCAGUGGUGGCCGAGGAUUGGGCAGGUGGCGGCUGCUGCCCUUGGGCCAAGAAAUGGGGAAGGGGAGAUGUAUUCCCAACCAUGAAGAGAGAGGAAUCAUCCCUUUAUGUUGGUCUGUUUACUGGGACCGGCCAUCAUCGCCGGCGUGGCAGCGGCCACGGCUGGCGACGACGUGGGCCGGUGGUACAAGGUGGGAGUCGGGCUACCCCGACUGUCCUAGAUCUGGAGGAAUUGAGAUGUUUGGGGGCCUGGUGAUGGACCCCAUAGUAGAUGUGAAUUAUGGUUUAGAAUAUCUAAAUAUUAAAUGAUUUAGUUUGUGAUUUGUAAUUAAUGUUGUAAAGGAAGAGUCGGCGGUGCCAGGAGAUUUUGAUCAGGGGACUCAGCACCCCAGCGUGUAGGUUGUGAUUCGGAUCCAUGUUUGAGUCAAUCUAUAAUCUCUGUAAGAAUCCCUACAUCUGAGCACUUCUAUUUAUACAUAUAUUGGAUUUAUAGUUGGAUAUAUUUUAUCAGUAUGUUGCUAUUUAUUUUUGAGCUUGUAUGACACUAUGAGGUGUGCAUUUUGUUUAUUAUGAAAGUAUUGGAAUAAUUAAAUUGGGAAGGAAUAACAUAUUUUUGAGAAAUUAUGAAAAUAUGUGACGUGAUUGAAAUGUGAUUAAACAUGUAAAACUAGACAUGUAAAAUGGAUUGGACUAACCUUGUCAUGAGAUAGCCUCUACGAGCUUAUGUGUAGGAUAGCUGCCUCGAGCUUAUGCGUGGGAUAGCCUCUACGAGCUUAUGCGUAGGAUAGCCUCCACGGGCUUACGCGUGGGAUAGCCUCUACGAGCUUAUGCGUAGGAUAGCCUCCACGGGCUUACGCGUGGGAUAGCUGCCACGAGCUUAUGCGUGGGAUUUGUGCAGUCUUGGACUGGGUCAUGAACUUGGUUAGUCCAACGCCAGAAGUAAAAAGUCUGAAGACUUGGGAAUCAUGGUAUUACGUGAAUGAAUCACGAAAUGUGAAAAAGGGAUUUAUGUAUACAAAAUGGUUAUUUACAUAUUUGUUGUUUGUUGAGCCUAAAAAGGAUUUGUGUAUAUGUACUGAUUAUAUACACUUGUUGUUGUUGAGCUUUUGAAAAGAUGAAAUGACAUUUAUUGACGUUUUGAUGAAAUGAUAUUAUUUUGAUGUUUUGAUCAUUUUAUCAUAAUUACUGUGUGUGGCUGUUGGGAUUCUUACUGGGCUGGAAAAGCUCAUACUACAUUUACUUUCUUUUUCAGAGGCACUGAAUUUGUAGAGAUCAAUGGGUGGGACGAGAAAUGAGAUCAGCAUGGAGUCUGAUUGCUGGAUAGAUAGGAGUUAAUCUAUCUUUUGUUUAUGGACAUUGAAAAAUUAUGUAAUAAAUCAGUACAUUUUGGUUGGAUUUGAUUUAAUUUCAUUAAUAAUUAAUUUUGGCAUUUAUGGAAUUAUUGGAAUUGUUGUUUAUCUUAGGCCUUGCAUGAUCUUUAGGGCAUUGCUCUAGGGCUCAUGCGGCCGGUCACGUGCCGGACCCGGGAGGUGGGUUCGGGGCGUGACAGAGUGGUAUCAGAGCUUAAGGUUAAGGUAUCCUAGGGUUUAGGUUCAGGUGAGUGUGAGUGGGAAAUUAUGACAGGAAAACUAUCAGAGCCUUGGUUUAUAAUCACCUGAGAUUGUAACAGGAAUGAUGUUGUAAUCUAAGGUUUAAGACCACUAGGGACUGUGGCCUUAGCN